This 468-nucleotide ribosomal RNA is filed under the name uncultured bacterium. Its description in RNAcentral is "partial 16S ribosomal RNA". It matches the Rfam family "Bacterial small subunit ribosomal RNA", at positions 28 to 507 of the family's 1533-position model. The record is from RNAcentral.
GACGAACGCUGGCGGCGUGCUUAACACAUGCAAGUCGAACGGAAAGGCCCUGCUUUGGUUGGGUGCUCGAGUGGCGAACGGGUGAGUAACACGUGAGUAACCUGCCCUUUACUUUGGGAUAACUUCAGGAAACUGGGGCUAAUACCGGAUAGGAGCUCCUGCUGCAUGGUGGGGGUUGGAAAGGUUCGGCGGUUGGGGAUGGACUCGCGGCUUAUCAGCUUGUUGGUGGGGUAGUGGCUUACCAAGGCUUUGACGGGUAGCCGGCCUGAGAGGGUGACCGGCCACAUUGGGACUGAGAUACGGCCCAGACUCCUACGGGAGGAAGCAGUGGGGAAUAUUGCACAAUGGGCGGAAGCCUGAUGCAGCACCGCCGCGUGCGGGAUGACGGCCUUCGGGUUGUAAACCGCUUUCGCCUGUGACGAAGCGUGAGUGUCGGUAAUGGGUAAAGAAGCACCGGCUAACUACGUG